UCAGGCCUAACACAUGCAAGUCGAACGGUAACGCGGGGCAACCUGGCGACGAGUGGCGAACGGGUGAGUAAUGCAUCGGAACGUGCCCGGUAGUGGGGGAUAACUGCUCGAAAGAGCAGCUAAUACCGCAUACGACCUGAGGGUGAAAGGGGGGGAUCGCAAGACCUCUCGCUAUCGGAGCGGCCGAUGUCGGAUUAGCUAGUUGGUGGGGUAAAGGCCCACCAAGGCAACGAUCCGUAGCUGGUCUGAGAGGACGACCAGCCACACUGGGAGGGAGACACGGCCCAGACUCCUACGGGAGGCAGCAGUGGGGAAUUUAGGACAAUGGAC
This 330-nucleotide ribosomal RNA is filed under the name uncultured bacterium. RNAcentral's name for it is "bacterial SSU rRNA". It matches the Rfam family "Bacterial small subunit ribosomal RNA", at positions 43 to 376 of the family's 1533-position model. The record is from RNAcentral.